GUCGAGAAUCUUCCACAAUGCGCGAAAGCGUGACGGAGCGACACCGCGUGAUGGAUGAAGUCCUUCGGGGCGUAAACAUCUUUUAUAAAGGAGGAAAUUUUUGACGUUACUUUAUGAAUAAGGGGCUCCCAAUCUCGUGCCAGCAGGAGCGGUAAUACGAGAGCCUCAAGCGUUAUCCGGAAUCAUUGGGCGUAAAGGGUGCGUAGGUGGUUUGAUUAGUCUCCCGUUAAAACUUCGAGCUUAACUCGAAAAGAGCGGGGGAAACGGUCAAACUAGAGUAUGUGAGAGGUGUGUGGAACUCAUGGUGUAGGGGUGAAAUCCGUUGAUAUCAUGGGGAACACCAAAAGCGAAGGCAGCACACUGGCACAUCACUGACACUGAGGCACGAAACCUAAGGUAGCGAAUGGGAUUAGAAACCCGGGUAGUCC
RNAcentral lists this ribosomal RNA (428 nucleotides) under uncultured bacterium. RNAcentral's name for it is "partial 16S ribosomal RNA". It matches the Rfam family "Bacterial small subunit ribosomal RNA", at positions 354 to 796 of the family's 1533-position model. The record is from RNAcentral.